This 253-nucleotide ribosomal RNA is filed under the name uncultured bacterium. Its description in RNAcentral is "partial 16S ribosomal RNA". It matches the Rfam family "Bacterial small subunit ribosomal RNA", at positions 524 to 776 of the family's 1533-position model. The record is from RNAcentral.
UACAGAGGGUGCGAGCGUUAAUCGGAAUUACUGGGCGUAAAGCGUGCGUAGACGGCUAUCUAAGUCGGGUGUGAAAGCCCCGGGCUCAACCUGGGAAUUGCAUUCGAGACUGAAUAGCUAGGGUACGGUAGAGGGAAGCGGAAUUUCCGGUGUAGCGGUGAAAUGCGUAGAUAUCGGAUGGAACAUCAGUGGCGAAAGCGGCUUCCUGGACCAGUACCGACGUUCAGGCACGAAAGCGUGGGGAGCAAACAGG